GCUUACGGCCAAACACCCUGAACACGCCCGAUCUCGUCCGAUCUCGGAAGCUAAGCAGGGCGGGGCUGGUUAGUACUUGGAUGGGAGACCGCCUGGGAAUACCAGGUGCUGUAAGUU
RNAcentral lists this ribosomal RNA (117 nucleotides) under Oryzias javanicus (javanese ricefish). The record is from RNAcentral. Lineage: Eukaryota; Metazoa; Chordata; Actinopteri; Beloniformes; Adrianichthyidae.